This 238-nucleotide ribosomal RNA is filed under the name uncultured bacterium. RNAcentral's name for it is "partial 16S ribosomal RNA". It matches the Rfam family "Bacterial small subunit ribosomal RNA", at positions 524 to 762 of the family's 1533-position model. The record is from RNAcentral.
UACGGAGGGUGCAAGCGUUAUCCGGAUUCACUGGGUUAAAGGGUGCGUAGGUGGGCAAGUAAGUCAGUGGUGAAAUCUCCGGGCUUAACCCGGAAACUGCCAUUGAUACUAUUUGUCUUGAAUACUGUGGAGGUCAGCGGAAUAUGUCAUGUAGCGGUGAAAUGCUUAGAUAUGACAUAGAACACCAAUUGCGAAGGCAGCUGGCUACACAAAUAUUGACACUGAGGCACGAAAGCGU